GACGAACGCUGGCGGCGUGCUUAACACAUGCAAGUCGAACGAUGAAGCUGGAGCUUGCUCUGGCGGAUUAGUGGCGAACGGGUGAGUAACACGUGAGAAAUCUGCCCUUGACUCUGGGAUAGCUGCGGGAAACUGUAGCUAAUACCGGAUACUUUCCCUGGUGGGCAUCCACUGGGGAAGAAAGAAUUUCGGUCAAGGAUGAUCUCGCGGCCUAUCAGCUUGUUGGUGAGGUAAUGGCUCACCAAGGCGACGACGGGUAGCCGGCCUGAGAGGGUGACCGGCCACACUGGGACUGAGACACGGCCCAGACUCCUACGGGAGGCAGCAGUGGGGAAUAUUGCACAAUGGGCGCAAGCCUGAUGCAGCAACGCCGCGUGAGGGAUGAAGGCCUUCGGGUUGUAAACCUCUUUUAGCAGGGAAGAAGCGAAAGUGACGGUGCCUGCAGAAAAAGCAUCGGCUAACUACGUGCCAGCAGCCGCCGUAA
This 484-nucleotide ribosomal RNA is filed under the name uncultured bacterium. Its description in RNAcentral is "partial 16S ribosomal RNA". It matches the Rfam family "Bacterial small subunit ribosomal RNA", at positions 28 to 523 of the family's 1533-position model. The record is from RNAcentral.